GGAGGACAGGUGCUGCAUGGCUGUCGUCAGCUCGUGUCGUGAGAUGUUGGUUAAGUCCCGCAACGAGCGCAACCCCUAUCUUUAGUUGCCAUCAUUAAGUUGGGCACUCUAAAGAGACUGCCGGUGUCAAACCGGAGGAAGGUGGGGAUGACGUCAAGUCCUCAUGGCCUUUAUGACCAGGGCUACACACGUACUACAAUGGCCGGUACAAAGGGCAGCGACACAGCGAUGUGAAGCCAAUCCCGAAAAGCCGGUCUCAGUCCGGAUUGGAGUCUGCAACUCGACUCCAUGAAGUUGGAAUCGCUAGUAAUCGUGGAUCAGCACGCCACGGUCGAAUACGUUCCCGGGCCUU
This 352-nucleotide ribosomal RNA is filed under the name uncultured Desulfocapsa sp. RNAcentral's name for it is "bacterial SSU rRNA". It matches the Rfam family "Bacterial small subunit ribosomal RNA", at positions 1029 to 1382 of the family's 1533-position model. The record is from RNAcentral. Lineage: Bacteria; Pseudomonadati; Thermodesulfobacteriota; Desulfobulbia; Desulfobulbales; Desulfocapsaceae.